GACGAACGCUGGCGGCGUGCUUAACACAUGCAAGUCGAGCGGUAAGGCCCUUUCGGGGGUACGACGAGCGGCGAACGGGUAGGAGUAACACGUGGGUGACCUCGCCCUCAGCUCUGGGAGUAAGCCCGGGAAACUGGGUCUAAUACUGGAUAUGACUCCAUGACGCAUGUUGUGGGGUGGAAAGCCUUGUGCGGCUGAGGAUGGGCCCGCGGCCU
Molecule: ribosomal RNA, 215 nt
Filed under: uncultured bacterium
Lineage: Bacteria
Description: partial 16S ribosomal RNA
Rfam family: Bacterial small subunit ribosomal RNA
Source: RNAcentral